AGAGUUUGAUCAUGGCUCAGAAUGAACGCUGGCGGCGUGCUUAACACAUGCAAGUCGAACGAGAAAGGGACUGCUUGCAGUCCCAAGUAGAGUGGCGCACGGGUGAGUAACACGUAGAUAAUCUACCUUCGAAUUUGGGAUAACCGCCUGAAAGGGCGGCUAAUACCGGAUAAAGUUUAUUGACACAAGUUGAUAGAUGAAAGGCAGCCGAUUCAUGAAAGCUGUUGUUUGGAGAUGAGUUUGCGGACCAUUAGCUGGUUGGUGGGGUAAAGGCCUACCAAGGCGGUGAUGGUUAGCUGGUCUGAGAGGAUGAUCAGUCACACUGGAACUGGAACACGGUCCAGACUCCUACGGGAGGCAGCAGUGAGGGAUUUUGCGCAAUGGGGUAACCCCUGACGCAGCAACGCCGCGUGAGUGAAGAAGGCCUUUGGGUCGUAAAGCUCUGUCAACUGGGAAGAAGUUACUGUAUAUAAACAGUGUAUAGCAUUGACGGUACCAGUGGAGGAAGCAUCGGCUAACUCCGUGCCAGCAGCCGCGGUAACACGGGGGAUGCAAGCGUUAUUCGGAAUUAUUGGGCGUAAAGUGCGCGUAGGCGGUAUUGUCGGUCAGAUGUGAAAGCCCGGGGCUCAACCCCGGACGUGCAUUUGAAACAGCGAUACUUGAGUACGGGAGAGGAAAGCGGAAUUCCUGGUGUAGAGGUGAAAUUCGUAGAUAUCAGAGGAACACCGAUGGCGAAGGCAGCUUUCUGGACCGAUACUGACGCUGAGGCGCGAAGGCGUGGGUAGCGAACAGGAUUAGAUACCCUGGUAGUCCACGCAGUAAACGCUGGGCACUAGACGUUCCUAUUUUAUAUGGGAGUGUCGUAGUUAACGCGCUAAGUGCCCCGCCUGGGGAUUACAGUCGCAAGGCUGAAACUCAAAGGAAUUGACGGGGGCCCGCACAAGCGGUGGAGCAUGUGGUUUAAUUCGACGCAACGCGAAAAACCUUACCUGGGCUUGAACUGCUAGUAGUAGUGAACCGAAAGGGGAACGAACCUGCUUGCAGGAAGCUAGCAGAGGUGCUGCAUGGCUGUCGUCAGCUCGUGUCGUGAGAUGUUGGGUUAAGUCCCGCAACGAGCGCAACCCCUGCUUUUAGUUGCCAGCGAAUAAUGUCGGGUACUCUAAGGGGACUGCCCCGGAAAACGGGGAGGAAGGUGGGGAUGACGUCAAGUCAGCAUGGCCUUUAUGUUCAGGGCGACACACGUGCUACAAUGGGCGGUACAGAGGGUUGCAAGACCGCGAGGUGGAGCUAAUCCCUAAAACCGUUCUCAGUUCAGAUCGCAGGCUGCAAUUCGCCUGCGUGAAGUUGGAAUCGCUAGUAAUCGCGGAUCAGCAUUGCCGCGGUGAAUACGUUCCUGGGCCUUGUACACACCGCCCGUCACAUCACGAAAGUUGGUCAUACUCAAAGUCGCUGGGCUAUCCUUCGGGAAGCAGGUGCCUAAAGUGUGGUCGAUGAUUGGGGUGAAGUCGUAACAAGGUAA
This 1519-nucleotide ribosomal RNA is filed under the name uncultured Pseudomonadota bacterium. RNAcentral's name for it is "bacterial SSU rRNA". It matches the Rfam family "Bacterial small subunit ribosomal RNA". Lineage: Bacteria; Pseudomonadati; Pseudomonadota. The record is from RNAcentral.